UAUGUACUCCCUCCGUCCCAAAAUUCUUGUCUUAAAUUUGUCUAGAUACGGAUGUACCUAAUACUAAAACGUGAUUUCAUACAUCCGUAUUUGGACAAAUUUAAGACAAGAAUUUUGGGACGGAGGGAGUACCUU
Molecule: non-coding RNA, 135 nt
Organism: Triticum aestivum (bread wheat)
Lineage: Eukaryota; Viridiplantae; Streptophyta; Magnoliopsida; Poales; Poaceae
Source: Rfam